Molecule: ribosomal RNA, 246 nt
Filed under: uncultured bacterium
Lineage: Bacteria
Description: partial 16S ribosomal RNA
Rfam family: Bacterial small subunit ribosomal RNA
Source: RNAcentral
GUAUGGUGCAAGCGUUAUCCGGAUUUACUGGGUGUAAAGGGAGCGCAGGCGGCACGGCAAGCCUGAUGUGAAAGCCCGCGGCCCAACCGCGGGACUGCAUUGGGAACUACCGGGCUGGAGUGCCGGAGAGGUAGGCGGAAUUCCUAGUGUAGCGGUGAAAUGCGUAGAUAUUAGGAGGAACACCAGUGGCGAAGGCGGCCUACUGGACGGUGACUGACGCUGAGGCUCGAAAGCGUGGGGAGCAAA